GGAGUCUUAAAAUAAUAUUAAAUAUAAAUACAAUUAAAAAAUUUU
This 45-nucleotide transfer RNA is filed under the name Bugula neritina. RNAcentral describes it as "tRNA-Tyr". Lineage: Eukaryota; Metazoa; Bryozoa; Gymnolaemata; Cheilostomatida; Bugulidae. The record is from RNAcentral.